UUUGCACUGGAAUGGAGAUUUUAACACGAAGUGAGUGGCGGACGGGUGAGUAACACGUGGGUAACCUGCCCAGAAGCAGGGGAUAACACCUGGAAACAGAUGCUAAUACCGUAUAACAGAGAAAACCGCCUGGUUUUCUUUUAAAAGAUGGCUCUGCUAUCACUUCUGGAUGGACCCGCGGCGCAUUAGCUAGUUGGUGAGGUAACGGCUCACCAAGGCGAUGAUGCGUAGCCGACCUGAGAGGGUAAUCGGCCACAUUGGGACUGAGACACGGCCCAGACUCCUACGGGAGGCAGCAGUAGGGAAUCUUCCACAAUGGACGCAAGUCUGAUGGAGCAACGCCGCGUGAGUGAAGAAGGGUUUCGGCUCGUAAAGCUCUGUUGUUAAAGAAGAACGUGGGUGAGAGUAACUGUUCACCCAGUGACGGUAUUUAACCAGAAAGCCACGGCUAACUACGUGCCAGCAGCCGCGGUAAUACGUAGGUGGCAAGCGUUAUCCGGAUUUAUUGGGCGUAAAGCGAGCGCAGGCGGUCUUUUAAGUCUAAUGUGAAAGCCUUCGGCUCAACCGAAGAAGUGCAUUGGAAACUGGGAGACUUGAGUGCAGAAGAGGACAGUGGAACUCCAUGUGUAGCGGUGAAAUGCGUAGAUAUAUGGAAGAACACCAGUGGCGAAGGCGGCUGUCUGGUCUGUAACUGACGCUGAGGCUCGAAAGCAUGGGUAGCGAACAGGAUUAGAUACCCUGGUAGUCCAUGCCGUAAACGAUGAUUACUAAGUGUUGGAGGGUUUCCGCCCUUCAGUGCUGCAGCUAACGCAUUAAGUAAUCCGCCUGGGGAGUACGACCGCAAGGUUGAAACUCAAAAGAAUUGACGGGGGCCCGCACAAGCGGUGGAGCAUGUGGUUUAAUUCGAAGCUACGCGAAGAACCUUACCAGGUCUUGACAUCUUCUGCCAACCUAAGAGAUUAGGCGUUCCCUUCGGGGACAGAAUGACAGGUGGUGCAUGGUUGUCGUCAGCUCGUGUCGUGAGAUGUUGGGUUAAGUCCCGCAACGAGCGCAACCCUUAUUACUAGUUGCCAGCAUUCAGUUGGGCACUCUAGUGAGACUGCCGGUGACAAACCGGAGGAAGGUGGGGACGACGUCAAAUCAUCAUGCCCCUUAUGACCUGGGCUACANNCGUGCUACAUGGAUGGUACAACGAGUCCGGAAACCGCGAGGUUAGCUAAUCUCUUAAACCCUUCUCAGUUCGGACUNUAGGCUGGAAAUUGCCUACCAGA
RNAcentral lists this ribosomal RNA (1271 nucleotides) under Pediococcus acidilactici. RNAcentral's name for it is "bacterial SSU rRNA". It matches the Rfam family "Bacterial small subunit ribosomal RNA", at positions 66 to 1323 of the family's 1533-position model. The record is from RNAcentral. Lineage: Bacteria; Bacillati; Bacillota; Bacilli; Lactobacillales; Lactobacillaceae.